This 253-nucleotide ribosomal RNA is filed under the name uncultured bacterium. RNAcentral describes it as "partial 16S ribosomal RNA". It matches the Rfam family "Bacterial small subunit ribosomal RNA", at positions 524 to 776 of the family's 1533-position model. The record is from RNAcentral.
UACGGAGGGGGCUAGCGUUGUUCGGGAUUACUGGGCGUAAAGCGCACGUAGGCGGAUUGGAAAGUUGGGGGUGAAAUCCCAGGGCUCAACCCCGGAACUGCCUCCAAAACUUCCAGUCUUGAGUUCGAGAGAGGUGAGUGGAAUUCCGAGUGUAGAGGUGAAAUUCGUAGAUAUUCGGAGGAACACCAGUGGCGAAGGCGGCUCACUGGCUCGAUACUGACGCUGAGGUGCGAAAGCGUGGGGGGCAAACAGG